This 2366-nucleotide ribosomal RNA is filed under the name Bacteroidales bacterium KA00251. Its description in RNAcentral is "Bacterial large subunit ribosomal RNA". It matches the Rfam family "Bacterial large subunit ribosomal RNA", at positions 294 to 2672 of the family's 2925-position model. The record is from Rfam by way of RNAcentral. Lineage: Bacteria; Pseudomonadati; Bacteroidota; Bacteroidia; Bacteroidales.
GGGGUUGUAGGAUCUAACAUAAAGGAUAGGAGGAACCUAGUGGAAUGCUUUGGAAAGGGCAACCAUAGGACGUGACAGUCGUGUACACGAAAGGGAGAGACCUAUCUGGGUUAGACACCUGAGUAGCUCGGGGCACGUGAAACCUUGAGUGAAUUUGCGGGGACCAUCCCGUAAGGCUAAAUAUAACCAAGAGACCGAUAGUGAACAAGUACCGUGAGGGAAAGGUGAAAAGGACCUCGAAUAGAGGAGUGCAAUAGAUCCUGAACCCGUUUGCUGACAAGCUGUAGGAGCCCCUUUGGGGUGACUGCGUGCCUUUUGCAUAAUGAACCUACGAGUUGUUCUUUCUGGCGAGGCUAACCAUCAGGAGAUGGGUACCCGCAGCGAAAGCGAGUCUUAAAUAGGCGUAUAGUCAGAAGGAGCAGACGCGAAACCAAGUGAUCUACCCUUGGCCAGGUUGAAGGUUAGGUAACACUAACUGGAGGACCCAAUCGGGAAGCGUUGAAAAGCUUUCGAAUGAGCUGAGGGUAGGGGUGAAAGGCUAAUCAAACUUGGAGAUAGCUCGUACUCCCCGAAAUGCAUUUAGGUGCAGCCUGUACAGUUUCUUGCAAGAGGUAGAGCUACUGAUUGGAUGCGAGGCUUUCACCGGCUAUCAAGUCCGGCCAAACUCCGAAUGCUUGCAAGUGAAUGUAUGGAGUGAGGGCAUGGGUGCUAAGGUCCAUGUCCGAGAGGAGAACAAUCCGGACCAUCAGCUAAGGUCCCUAAAUCACUGCUAAGUUGGACAAACGAAGUCAAGAUGCAUAGACAGCUAGGAUGUUGGCUUGGAAGCAGCCAUUCAUUUAAAGAGUGCGUAACAGCUCACUAGUCGAGGAUUUUGGCAUGGAUAAUAAGCGGGCAUAAGCAGUGUACCGAAGCUAUGGGAUGUGUAAACAUCGGUAGGGGAGCAUUCUUUAUGGGAUGAAGGUAUUAAGACAAUUAGUGCUGGACCGUAAAGAAAAGCAAAUGUAGGUAUAAGUAACGAUAAAGGGGGUCAUAAUCCCCCUCGCCGAAAGACUAAGGUUUCCUGAUCAACGCUCGACGGAUCAGGGUUAGUCGGGUCCUAAGGAGAAGCCUAAAGGCGUAUUCGAUGGACAACGGGUUAAUAUUCCCGUACUAGUUGUAGGAGUGAAGGAGAGACGGAGUGAAUAGAGUCUUGCCAGCUGACGGAAUAGCUGGUUGAAGCAGGUAGGCGAUGAGAGGUGUAGGCAAAUCCGCACUUUGAGCUGAAAUGCGACAGUACGCAGCGUGCUUGCACAAUGCGAUAAUAGGCUUGAAGGGCUUCCAAGAAAAUCUUCUAACGUUAAUUCUGCAGCUACCCGUACCGCAAACCGACACAGGUAGUUGGGUUGAGUAUACUAAGGCGCUCGAGAGAUUCGCGGUUAAGGAACUAGGCAAAAUAGUUCUGUAACUUUGGGAAAAAGAACGCCUCCUUCCGGGGAGGCCGCAGAGAAUAGGCCCUGGCGACUGUUUAGCAAAAACAUAUGGCUAUGCCAAGUGGAAACAUCACGUAUAUAGCCUGACACCUGCCCGGUGCUGGAAGGUUAAGAGGAGAUGUCAUUCGCAAGAAGAAGCAUUGAAUUGAAGCCCCAGUAAACGGCGGCCGUAACUAUAACGGUCCUAAGGUAGCGAAAUUCCUUGUCGGGUAAGUUCCGACCUGCACGAAUGGUGUAACGAUCUGGGCACUGUCUCAACCGCGAGCUCGGUGAAAUUGUAGUAUCGGUGAAGAUGCCGAUUACCCGCAACGGGACGAAAAGACCCCGUGAACCUUUACUAUAGCUUUACAUUGUGAUCGGGUAUUAGAUGUGUAGGAUAGGCCGGAGGCUAUGAGAUGCUGUCGCUAGAUGGUGUGGAGCCGCUGUUGAAAUACGGCCCUUUUAUUAUUUGGUCACUAACUUGCAAUGAGCAAGGACACUGUAUGGUGGGUAGUUUGACUGGGGUGGUCGCCUCCAAAAGAGUAACGGAGGCUUCUAAAGGUACCCUCAGACCGAUUGGUAACCGGUCGAAGAGUGUAAUGGCAUAAGGGUGCUUGACUGUGAGACCAACAAGUCGCACAGGUAGGAAACUAGAGCAUAGUGAUCCGGUGGUUCCGCAUGGAAGGGCCAUCGCUCAAAGGAUAAAAGGUACUCCGGGGAUAACAGGCUGAUCGCUCCCAAGAGCUCAAAUCGACGGAGCGGUUUGGCACCUCGAUGUCGGCUCGUCACAUCCUGGGGCUGGAGAAGGUUCCAAGGGUUGGGCUGUUCGCCCAUUAAAGUGGCACGCGAGCUGGGUUCAGAACGUCGUGAGACAGUUCGGUCUCUAUCUGUUGUGGGCGUGAGAUAUUUGAGGGGUUC